This 460-nucleotide ribosomal RNA is filed under the name uncultured bacterium. Its description in RNAcentral is "partial 16S ribosomal RNA". It matches the Rfam family "Bacterial small subunit ribosomal RNA", at positions 338 to 795 of the family's 1533-position model. The record is from RNAcentral.
CCUACGGGUGGCAGCAGUGAGGAAUAUUGGUCAAUGGGCGCGAGCCUGAACCAGCCAAGUCGCGUGAAGGAUGACUGCCCUACGGGUUGUAAACUUCUUUUAUAAAGGAAUAAAGUGAGGCACGUGUGCCUUUUUGUAUGUACUUUAUGAAUAAGGAUCGGCUAACUCCGUGCCAGCAGCCGCGGUAAUCCUGAGUAUCCGAGCGUUAUCCGGAUUUAUUGGGUUUAAAGGGAGCGUAGAUGGGUUGUUAAGUCAGUUGUGAAAGUGUGCGGCUCAACCGUAAAAUUGCAAUUGAUACUGGCAGCCUUGAGUACAGUUGAGGUAGGCGGAAUUCGUGGUGUAGCGGUGAAAUGCUUAGAUAUCACGAAGAACUCCGAUUGCGAAGGCAGCUUACUAAACUGACACUGACAUUGAUGCUCGAAAGUGUGGGUAUCAAACAGGAUUAGAUACCCCUGUAGUC